Molecule: long non-coding RNA, 86 nt
Organism: Sinocyclocheilus grahami
Lineage: Eukaryota; Metazoa; Chordata; Actinopteri; Cypriniformes; Cyprinidae
Exons: 3
Source: RefSeq, a predicted model, not a curated record
AAAGGUGGUUUAUGUAUCACAGUUGGGAUCAUAAAACACAGCAACAUUGAUGAUUAAAUCUCUCCAAGCUUAAAGAGCUGUUUUCU